RNAcentral lists this ribosomal RNA (253 nucleotides) under uncultured bacterium. RNAcentral describes it as "partial 16S ribosomal RNA". It matches the Rfam family "Bacterial small subunit ribosomal RNA", at positions 524 to 776 of the family's 1533-position model. The record is from RNAcentral.
UACGUAGGUGGCAAGCGUUGUCCGGAAUUAUUGGGCGUAAAGCGCGCGCAGGUGGUUUCUUAAGUCUGAUGUGAAAGCCCACGGCUCAACCGUGGAGGGUCAUUGGAAACUGGGGAACUUGAGUGCAGAAGAGGAAAGUGGAAUUCCAAGUGUAGCGGUGAAAUGCGUAGAGAUUUGGAGGAACACCAGUGGCGAAGGCGGCAUCCUGGACCAUGACUGACGCUGAGGCGCGAAAGCGUGGGGAGCAAACAGG